UGAUGACGUGUCUUAUCAGAUUUGCAUGGGACUUGUGUCACCCUUUCAGUCUCCACAACUGUUUGUAGUACUGGAAGUGGUUCUACUGGCGGUUCAAUGCUCUCUUGUGGUGCUUGAGUUUUCUCAAGUCGCACUGUACUCCCACUGAAUCUCUGAGAGAUAAAUUCCUUUUCUAAAAAGGUACCAUUUCGAGCAACAAACACUUUG
RNAcentral lists this long non-coding RNA (207 nucleotides) under Manihot esculenta (cassava). RNAcentral's name for it is "long non-coding RNA (MESC_LNC000691)". The record is from RNAcentral. Lineage: Eukaryota; Viridiplantae; Streptophyta; Magnoliopsida; Malpighiales; Euphorbiaceae.